GAAUUCCUUGGAAGCAGAGCAAAUGAAAUGAUCAUUGAAUGCAGCCUGACAAUUGAAGUUCAGAAGUAACACCAUCUUUCAGAAUGGGAAGGUACAGGCUAACUAGAUGAAAAAAGAAGAGCAGCAUCAAGGGAAUCAAUCUCUUGGGACGUCCUGUGGUCUGAAUGUACAUCUUGUAUUGCUGAGAUAGGAGCUGGGGAUGCGGUGUGUAAAGAUGUGAAUUUUACAAGGAAAAAGAAUCAUCCAGGAGACCUCUGGGAAAUCACAGAAUGUCUCCUAGGAAAGCUGGCCUUCAGUAGAAAUUUUGCCAAGGUUUUGAAAGAUUUUAUUAGAAAAGAUUUGGAUCCUGCACAAUUAUCAGUUCUGAAAGGUGCUUUGCCCACCUCCUCCAGUGGAAGUGCUAUUGAUCAUCUCACAAAAGGAAGGCAUGCACUUACAGAGAGAAAAGUUGAGCACUGUUCUGCUUGGCCAGAUGAGCCACUGUUCUGCUCCAAUGCCUU
Molecule: long non-coding RNA, 500 nt
Filed under: Gallus gallus (chicken)
Lineage: Eukaryota; Metazoa; Chordata; Aves; Galliformes; Phasianidae
Source: RNAcentral